This 468-nucleotide ribosomal RNA is filed under the name uncultured bacterium. Its description in RNAcentral is "partial 16S ribosomal RNA". It matches the Rfam family "Bacterial small subunit ribosomal RNA", at positions 28 to 507 of the family's 1533-position model. The record is from RNAcentral.
GAUGAACGCUGGCGGCGUGCUUAACACAUGCAAGUCGAACGGAAAGGCCCAAGCUUGCUUCGGUACUCGAGUGGCGAACGGGUGAGUAACACGUGGGUGAUCUGCCCUGCACUUCGGGAUAAGCCUGGGAAACUGGGUCUAAUACCGGAUAGGACGAUGGCUUGGAUGCCAUUGUGGAAAGUUUUUUUGGUGUGGGGUGAGCUCGGGGCCUAUCAGCUUGUGGGUGGGGUAAUGGCCUACCCAGGCGUUGACGGCGAGCCGGCCAGAGAGGGGGUAAGGCCCGAGUUGGACGGAGAUACGGGCCAGGCGCCGACGGGAGGCGGCAGGGGGGGAUAUUGCGAAAUGGGCGCAAGCCUGAUGCAGCGACGCCGCGUGGGGGGUGACGGCCUUCGGGUUGGAAACUCCUUUCGCUAGGGACGAAGCGUUUUUGUGACGGUACCUGGAGAAGAAGCACCGGCUAACUACGUG